GAUGAACGCUAGCUACAGGCUUAACACAUGCAAGUCGAGGGGUAACGAGAGGAAAGCUUGCUUUCCUUGUCGACGACCGGCGCACGGGUGAGUAACGCGUAUCCAACCUGCCCCCAACUAGGGAAUAACCUUGCGAAAGUAAGACUAAUACCCUAUAAUUUCCUCAGAUGUCAUCUGACGAGGAAUAAAGAUUUAUCGGUUGUGGAUGGGGAUGCGUCUGAUUAGCUUGUUGGCGGGGUAACGGCCCACCAAGGCAACGAUCAGUAGGGGUUCUGAGAGGAAGGUCCCCCACAUUGGACCUGAGACACGGUCCAAACUCCUACGGGCGGCAGCAGUGAGGAAUAUUGGUCAAUGGGCGGAAGCCUGAACCAGCCAAGUAGCGUGCAGGAUGACGGCCCUAUGGGUUGUAACCUGCUUUUAUACAGGAAUAAAGUUAGCCACGUGUGGUUAUUUGUAGGUACUGUAUGAAUAAGGACCGGCUAAUUCCGUGCCAGCCGCCGCUGUAA
RNAcentral lists this ribosomal RNA (506 nucleotides) under uncultured bacterium. RNAcentral describes it as "partial 16S ribosomal RNA". It matches the Rfam family "Bacterial small subunit ribosomal RNA", at positions 28 to 523 of the family's 1533-position model. The record is from RNAcentral.